AUUGAACGCUGGCGGCAGGCCUAACACAUGCCAGUCGAGCGGAUGAAGGGAGCUUGCUCCUGGAUUCAGCGGCGGACGGGUGAGUAAUGCCUAGGAAUCUGCCUGGGAGUGGGGGAUAACGUCCGGAAACGGGCGCUAAUACCGCAUACGUCCUGAGGGAGAAAGUGGGGGAUCUUCGGACCUCACGCUAUCAGAUGCGCCUAGGUCGGAUUAGCUAGUUGGUGGGGUAAAGGCCUACCAAGGCGACGAUCCGUAACUGGUCUGAGAGGAUGAUCAGUCACACUGGAACUGAGACACGGUCCAGACUCCUACGGGAGGCAGCAGUGGGGAAUAUUGGACAAUGGGCGAAAGCCUGAUCCAGCCAUGCCGCGUGUGUGAAGAAGGUCUUCGGAUUGUAAAGCACUUUAAGUUGGGAGGAAGGGCAGUAAGUUAAUACCUUGCUGUUUUGACGUUACCAACAGAAUAAGCACCGGCUAACUUCGUG
Molecule: ribosomal RNA, 484 nt
Filed under: uncultured bacterium
Lineage: Bacteria
Description: partial 16S ribosomal RNA
Rfam family: Bacterial small subunit ribosomal RNA
Source: RNAcentral